CCUACGGGAGGCAGCAGUGGGGAAUUUUGGACAAUGGGGGCAAGCCUGAUCCAGCACAUGCCGCGUGCAGGAAGAAGGCCUUCGGGUUGUAAACUGCUUUUGUCAGGGAGGAAAUACUCUGGGUUAAUACCUCGGGGUGAUGACGGUACCUGAAGAAUAAG
Molecule: ribosomal RNA, 161 nt
Filed under: uncultured bacterium
Lineage: Bacteria
Description: partial 16S rRNA
Rfam family: Bacterial small subunit ribosomal RNA
Source: RNAcentral